Molecule: long non-coding RNA, 409 nt
Filed under: Lepisosteus oculatus (spotted gar)
Lineage: Eukaryota; Metazoa; Chordata; Actinopteri; Semionotiformes; Lepisosteidae
Description: lncRNA (ENSLOCG00000022463.1)
Source: RNAcentral
CUCGCUUGCUCUCCUCUCAGAGAUCCUGCUGCCCGCUGGGCACAGAUACCAGCCUCUCUCUCGCUCGCUCUCCUCUCAGAGAUCCCGCUGGGCACAGAUACCAGCCUCUCUUUCGCUCGCUCUCCUCUCGGAGAUCCUGCUGGGCACAGAUACCAGCCUCUCUCUCGCUCGCUCUCCUCUCAGAGAUCCUGCUGCCCGCUGGGCACAGAUACCAGCCUCUCCCUCCUCUCUCUCUCCUCAGAGAUCCCUGGGCCCUCUCAGGCUGGUGCAGGAGGAGGCUGUGGCACAGUGCCCUGCUCUACAGCACCUGGUGCCGAUGGGCCAGAGCUCAGUGCAGGCAGUUCAACAGGAUCCCAGCAGUUCUGAUUUGGGAAGAGAUGCCAAGAAUCUCUACAACAUGAUUGUAUGA